RNAcentral lists this ribosomal RNA (259 nucleotides) under Myxococcota bacterium. Its description in RNAcentral is "partial 16S ribosomal RNA". It matches the Rfam family "Bacterial small subunit ribosomal RNA", at positions 1 to 246 of the family's 1533-position model. Lineage: Bacteria; Pseudomonadati; Myxococcota. The record is from RNAcentral.
CAACUGGAGAGUUUGAUCCUGGCUCAGAACGAACGUUAGCGGCGCGCCUAACACAUGCAAGUCGCACGAGAAAGGGCUUCGGCCCCUGUACAGUGGCGCACGGGUGAGUAACACGUGGGUAACGUUCCCUCGGGCGGGGGAUAACCUUCCGAAAGGAGGGCUAAUACCGCAUAAGACCACGGCUCCGAAAGGAGCUGAGGUAAAAGCAGGCCUCUGCACGCAAGCUUGCACCGGAGGAUCGGCCCGCGGCCCAUCAGCU